Molecule: ribosomal RNA, 468 nt
Filed under: uncultured bacterium
Lineage: Bacteria
Description: partial 16S ribosomal RNA
Rfam family: Bacterial small subunit ribosomal RNA
Source: RNAcentral
GAUGAACGCUGGCGGCGUGCUUAACACAUGCCAGUCGAACGGUGAAGGCGGAGCUUGCUCUGCUGGAUCAGUGGCGAACGGGUGAGUAACACGUGAGCAAUCUGCCCCUGACUCUGGGAUAAGCGCUGGAAACGGCGUCUAAUACUGGAUACGAGCUGCGAAGGCAUCUUCAGCAGCUGGAAAGAAUUUCGGUCAGGGAUGAGCUCGCGGCCUAUCAGCUUGUUGGUGAGGUAAUGGCUCACCAAGGCGUCGACGGGUAGCCGGCCUGAGAGGGUGACCGGCCACACUGGGACUGAGACACGGCCCAGACUCCUACGGGAGGCAGCAGUGGGGAAUAUUGCACAGUGGGCGAAAGCCUGAUGCAGCAACGCCGCGUGAGGGACGACGGCCUUCGGGUUGUAAACCUCUUUUAGCAGGGAAGAAGCGAAAGUGACGGUACCUGCAGAAAAAGCGCCGGCUAACUACGUG